Molecule: non-coding RNA, 94 nt
Organism: Xylaria digitata
Lineage: Eukaryota; Fungi; Ascomycota; Sordariomycetes; Xylariales; Xylariaceae
Source: the annotation of a GenBank genome assembly
GGCCAGGUGGCGGAGUGGUUAACGCGGUAGACUCGAAUUCGUUCGGUGCAAUCUACUUCCUUCGGGAGCGUCUGUUCGAAUCAGGCCCUGGUCG